GUGCUUGCUUUGGCAGCACAUAUACUAAAAUUGGAACAAUACAGAGAAUAUUAGCAUGGCUCCUGUGUAAGGAAGACACACCCAUUCAUGAGGUGCUCCAUAUUUUU
Choloepus didactylus (southern two-toed sloth) is the source of this 107-nucleotide small nuclear RNA. The record is from RefSeq and is a predicted model, not a curated record. NCBI's taxonomy places the organism in Eukaryota, Metazoa, Chordata, Mammalia, Pilosa, Megalonychidae.